AGCUUAAUUCCCAAGCAGCCUUCAUGUUAGGCGUAUUAUAUCAGUUUCAUUUUAUUUUCAGCCUGGCCAUACAAAAAAUACUCUAGUCCAUUUUUGUUCCAGUGUUUGUUCGUCAAAAGGGUCAAAUAUGUGUUGUACGCCUAACCGACCGUGUGGAUCAUGUGAACCAUGUGAUCCGUGCGGACCAUGCUGUUGCCCGUGUGGACCAUGUUGCUCAUGUGAUCCUUGCGGGCCGUGUCAUAAGACGUGUCCUGCAGCAUGCACUGCAUUAAAUCCCGCACCGUGUCCUACAUCCUGUCCUGAACCCAGCCCGCCAUCCCGCCUUGAGUAGGACAUUGCCCAAUGCAGCCCCAAGCUUCGACCCGUGCAAGUACUCCCGCCCCAUGCCCUAUGAAAAACGCAACGGCCUCCCAAUCCCAUAAAGGGGACUCUAUUGUGCCGUUGAAGAAAACAUUGGAACGAUUGGACUAGACAAUAACUACAAAAAAAAAAGGAAACCGAACUCAGCCACACACAAGAAGCAAUAAAAUUAAAAAAAAAACUGCAAAA
Molecule: small RNA, 549 nt
Filed under: Drosophila ananassae
Lineage: Eukaryota; Metazoa; Arthropoda; Insecta; Diptera; Drosophilidae
Description: GF27935
Source: RNAcentral